Molecule: ribosomal RNA, 548 nt
Filed under: uncultured bacterium
Lineage: Bacteria
Description: bacterial SSU rRNA
Rfam family: Bacterial small subunit ribosomal RNA
Source: RNAcentral
UGAGGAAUUUUGCGCAAUAGGGGAAACCCUGACGCAGCAACGCCGCGUGAGUGAAGAAGGCCCUCGGGUCGUAAAGCUCUGUCAAGUGGGAAAAAAGCUUACUGGUAAAUAGCCAGCAAGACUGAUGGUACCAUUGAAGGAAGCACCGGCUAACUCCGUGCCAGCAGCCGCGGUAAUACGGAGGGUGCAAGCGUUGUUCGGAAUUACUGGGCGUAAAGGGCGUGUAGGCGGUGUGGUAAGUCAGAUGUGAAAUCCCCGGGCUUAACUCGGGAAGUGCAUCUGAAACUGCUUUGCUUGAGUUCUGGAGGGGGUAGUGGAAUUCCCAGUGUAGCGGUGAAAUGCGUAGAUAUUGGGAGGAACACCUGCGGCGAAGGCGGCUACCUGGACAGUGACUGACGCUGAGGCGCGAAAGCUAGGGGAGCAAACGGGAUUAGAUACCCUGGUAGUCCACGCCCUAAACGAUGGCAACUGGGUGUUGGGGGAGCGAUUCCUCAGUACCGUAGCUAACGCGUGAAGUUGCCCGCCUGGGGAGUACGGCCGCAAGGUUA